RNAcentral lists this ribosomal RNA (952 nucleotides) under uncultured prokaryote. RNAcentral's name for it is "bacterial SSU rRNA". It matches the Rfam family "Bacterial small subunit ribosomal RNA", at positions 486 to 1438 of the family's 1533-position model. The record is from RNAcentral.
AGAAGGUCCGGCUAACUUCGUGCCAGCAGCCGCGGUAAUACGAAGGGACCUAGCGUAGUUCGGAAUUACUGGGCUUAAAGAGCACGUAGGUGGUUAAGAAAGUUGGUGGUGAAAUCCCAAGGCUUAACCUUGGAACUGCCACCAAAACUUUUUAACUAGAGUAUGAUUGAGGUAAGCGGAAUUUCUAGUGUAGAGGUGAAAUUCGUAGAUAUUAGAAAGAACACCAAUUGCGAAGGCAGCUUUCUGGAUCAUUACUGACACUGAGGUGCGAAAGCAUGGGUAGCGAAGAGGAUUAGAUACCCUCGUAGUCCAUGCCGUAAACGAUGUGUGCUAGACGUUGGGAAUUUAUUUUUCAGUGUCGCAGCAAAAGCGUUAAGCACACCGCCUGGGGAGUACGACCGCAAGGUUAAAACUCAAAUGAAUUGACGGGGACCCGCACAAGUAGUGGAGCAUGUGGUUUAAUUCGAAGAUACGCGCAGAACCUUACCAACACUUGACAUGUUCGUCGCGACUCUAAGAGAUUAGAGUUUUCGGUUCGGCCGGACGAAACACAGGUGCUGCAUGGCUGUCGUCAGCUCGUGUCGUGAGAUGUUGGGUUAAGUCCCGCAACGAGCGCAACCCUUACUUUUAGUUGCUAUCAUUCAGUUGAGCACUCUAAAAGAACUGCCGGUGAUAAGCUGGAGGAAGGUGGGGAUGACGUCAAGUCCUCAUGGCCCUUAUGUGUUGGGCUACACACGUGCUACAAUGGUAUUUACAGUGGGAUGCAAAGAGGCAACUCCUAGCAAACCCUCAAAAAAUACCUCAGUUCGGAUUGUACUCUGCAACUCGAGUACAUGAAGCUGGAAUUACUAGUAAUCGCAGAUCAGCGCGCUGCGGUGAAUACGUUCCCGGGUCUUGUACACACCGCCCGUCACACCAUGGAAGUUGGUUACACCUGAAGGCAAAACGUAAA